UACGUAGGUGGCAAGCGUUGUCCGGAUUUAUUGGGCGUAAAGCGCCCGCAGGCGGCUCGCCAAGUUUCAGGUGAAAUCUCCCGGCUUAACUGGGAGGGGUCCUGGAAAACUGGCAGGCUUGAGGCAGGGAGAGGGAUGCGGAAUUCCUAGUGUAGCGGUGAAAUGCGCAGAUAUCAGGAAGAACACCAAUGGCGAAGGCAGCUCUCUGGGACGGUACUGACGCUGAGACGCGAAAGCGUGGGGAGCGAACAGG
This 253-nucleotide ribosomal RNA is filed under the name uncultured bacterium. RNAcentral describes it as "partial 16S ribosomal RNA". It matches the Rfam family "Bacterial small subunit ribosomal RNA", at positions 524 to 776 of the family's 1533-position model. The record is from RNAcentral.